Sinocyclocheilus grahami is the source of this 403-nucleotide long non-coding RNA. RefSeq lists it as uncharacterized. The record is from RefSeq and is a predicted model, not a curated record. Lineage: Eukaryota; Metazoa; Chordata; Actinopteri; Cypriniformes; Cyprinidae. The transcript has 3 exons.
UCGCUUGUGGACUGCAAUUGGUCAGAUUACCGUCUCUGAACUCGGCGGCCAUUUCAGAGCCGUGAAAUUUGACACCUCUGCGUCACUAGAGGGGGAGAGGGGGUUCUUGUACGCUGUACAUUGGGGGCUGUAGUUUGUGGACUCGGUGUUUUGAAGGCGAGUUUCCCUUACGGAAAGGAUACUGCACACGCGGCUCGGAUAUUAUCAAUCUAUGAUAAUCAUAUUACAAGUUAUAUAUGGUGAAGAACGUUCCGCGGCGCCGUGGAGAGGAAUGAACGCGCGUCUGAUAGCUGCCGGUUAGCAAAUUAGCUCCGCUCUGGACCAGGGAUGAUGCAAUGUUGUCAUGGAGAGAUGCUCUGGAUACAGGAGUGAGCUCAUGAGCCUGAAAUGAAGACGGACCCCA